RNAcentral lists this long non-coding RNA (1522 nucleotides) under Sus scrofa (pig). RNAcentral describes it as "lncRNA (ENSSSCG00000038476.3)". The record is from RNAcentral. Lineage: Eukaryota; Metazoa; Chordata; Mammalia; Artiodactyla; Suidae.
UUCUGCUUGGGGGGCUUUAAGGAAGCAAAUGGACUUUCAGAACAGAGAUUGUCAAUAAAGGUGUUGUGCCAUGUUAAAGACCCUCUUGUCAUUUUUAUUAUUCAUGGAUGGACGCUAAUUCUACAAGUCAGUUUAAGGGAUGGAACACGAGUUGUCCAUGACAUGACACAGCUACGGCAAACACUGGAUCCUUAACCCACUGUGCUGGGUCGGGAAUUGAACUGGUGCCUCCACAGAGACAAGCUGGAUCAUUAAUCCAUUGUGCCACAGCAGCAAUCCACAUUGGAUUUUCUUCGGGGCCCAAUGUUAUAUAUGAAAUCCUUUGCAAACUAUGAAGUAUAUUUGUGAGAUGGUUUUACUGGAAACAGUAGGACACUAGAAACAAAUACGCUAUAGCAAUAUCAGCCACGGGCAUAAUAGUUAGUGGUUAAUUGAUACUCUUUAAGUCCUGACACAACCACCAUGCUGAUGCAGAUACUCUUUAUUAGUACACAGGAAAAUCAGAUCAUUAUCUAAGGCCAACAAGCUCCUCCUUGAGAUGUUCUGCCAUAUAAUCUGGAGGAAAUACUGUAAGACUUUGUCAGCACUGAGUCAUUUGCACUGGGAGUCUUACCAGAAAAAAAAAAUCUUGUCUUCUCAGAAGGUAUGUGAAAAUGUCUAUGGACAAGCCAUUUAGAUGACAGAUUUAACAAGUUCUACCCUCUAUUAACUUCACACAUACCCACCUUUCUGCAAACUAAAAGACACUACUUCUCUUAUUGAUCCAUUAACAUAAAGUCAUUUUCUAAUUUACUAUUACAAGUAAUUAUAAUUAGAAUGGGUUUAUUAAUUAAAAGCUAUUAUAAUCAUUAUUAAUUACUCUUCAGUAUAUAGCAUUUCAUAUGAUCCAUUCCCUAACUCCUCAUCUUUGGAAAGCUAACACUCAGAGUUACCCCUGAGAACAAUAGAGUCCACAAAGUCAGAGACUAUAGUUAGAAAAAAGAUAUAAAAAUAUUUAGCACUUCAAAAUGAAGAGCUCAACAGACCUUGCAAUUCUCCAUGUUUAUUUUGCCCGCCUUAGGUGAAAUUUCAUAAAAUUGGAAGAAUCAAUAGAACUGCAAAUUCUACUUUAUUCAUUGCUUUUAUUUAUCAGCUAUGCAAGGAAUACGAUUUCAAAUUUUUAUUUAUAUAGGUCUGUAACAUUUGGAAAGGCAAUGAACAAUUUUAUUUACUUUCACUACAUUUUUUGUAAAAUGUAAAAUUAAGAGAAGGUAAUUUUUUAACCCAGAGAAUGAAAAUUAUUUGCAAGAAAGUGAUAUUGGUUGGAAAACAAAAUAUUACUUCAAUCCAUGUCCAAGGAAAGUUGUUGGAGUAUUUUAGAAUAUUCAAAGUUCCUUGUAUCUAUUUUAACUAAAAUGACAUUCUUUGCUAUACAUAUGAUUGAUCUGUAACUAAUUAUUUUUAUAGGUUGUUUACUGUUCUAUUCAAAGAUCAAUUUGUCAUGUCAACCCUUUCUCUAAUACAAUGGCAAGUGGCAAGAACA